This 20-nucleotide unclassified non-coding RNA is filed under the name Mus musculus (house mouse). RNAcentral's name for it is "oocyte_clustered_small_RNA2701". Lineage: Eukaryota; Metazoa; Chordata; Mammalia; Rodentia; Muridae. The record is from RNAcentral.
UGAAAUGCACUAUAUUAAGG